Molecule: long non-coding RNA, 730 nt
Filed under: Rhinopithecus bieti (black snub-nosed monkey)
Lineage: Eukaryota; Metazoa; Chordata; Mammalia; Primates; Cercopithecidae
Description: lncRNA (ENSRBIG00000046256.1)
Source: RNAcentral
GACUCGCCCCGUGCCCGCCCCGCGCGCGGCCCAAUCCCGUGGCUCCCGGCCCGGGGGCUGCGCGCCGAUGAUGUCAGCUGCGGCCAAUCGCGAGCGGCGACACACAGCGGCCCCGCCUGGCGUGACCGAGACUCUCCAUCACGGCCCGCACCAUUGGUUCAAUUCGAACUCUGCUCGUUCUGAUUGGAGAGUGGCCUCGCAGGCUAUUUUUAGCAGGGUAUAUAAGGCGCGGUCGGCCGCGCGCCGGAGGAGUCCGCGCUGUGAGGUGCGCGGCCGAGUGCUGUGCUGCGCCCGCGGCCGGGGCUGAGGGAUCCGGGGCUGGGAGAGCCCGGGCGGGCCGCGUUGCUCGUCCCCAGUCCCAGUCCCCCUUCCCUGCUGCCCGGUCCCGCCACCCCGCGCCCGUCCCGGUCACCAAGCCGGGCCCCGUCGCCGCGCGAGCCCCGUUCCGGCAGCACACCCAGCGUGCGGCCGCCCGGUCCUGCUUCUCUAGGCCGUCAGGUGCUUCCUCCUCCUGCUCCUCGCUGAAGAUCCUUGCGCUCUUUUCACUCGCGCAGUCAUGGAGAGAACACAGUCAACUCCAUUUCUUGGGCGUGACCCUCGUUCUCUGCUCACCUUGAGCCGCUCCAGUCUCUGCCACUGUCUUCAAAAGGUGACAUCAGUUUGCAUUCACAUCAACUGCAUUUUGAAGUGGACACAGAGCGUUGAUUUUACAAAUCUGCCGGCAUUUGAG